UUUUUUAUAAAAGUAAUUUAUUUGUUUAAAGUUUUAGUAUUUAGUAAAAAUUAAUUUAUAGAUUUAUAGUUUAAUAGUAUUGUAGAAGAAUUAAUUAAAUUUUUAAAAGAAUAUUUUUAGUACCUUUUGUAUCAGGGUUAAUUAAAAUUUUUAAUUUUUUUUUAAUUUCUCAAAAUUUAUAGAGUUAAUUUUAUUAUUAAUUUAUUGUGUUAUAAAUAUUUAUAAAAUAAUAUUAGUUUUGAAAUUUAAUUCGUUAUAUUAUAUUUAGUUAUUUAAGAUUUAAAUUUAAUUUAAAAUUUUAAAAGUUAUUUUGAUUUUAUAUAUUAAUAUUUUAAAUUUAAAUUAUUUUAGGGAUAAGCUUAAAAUUUUUAUAUAAUGAUUUAUUUAUUUUAAUAAUUUAUAGGAAUAGAAAUUUUUAUUUUAAGUUUGUAAAAAUUUAUUAUUUAUUUAUUUUUAAUUUAUUAUAGAUUUAUUUAUUUUUUUUAUUAAAUUUUAUUAAUUAAUAUUUAAUUUUUAGUAAUAAUGAUUAAAUUAGUAUAAUUUAUAUUUAUAAAUUAUGAAUUCGGCAAAAAUUAUUUUCAUCUGUUUAACAAAAACAUUGUAUUAAGUUUAAUUUAAUAUAGGAUCUGCUCAAUGAUUUAUUAAAUAGCUGCAGUAUUUUGACUGUGCAAAGGUAGCAUAAUAAUUAGUCUUUUAAUUGAGGACUUGUAUGAAAGAUUUGAUGAGAAAUAAACUUUAUUAUUUAUAUAAUUAAAACUUUAUUUUUAAGUAAAAAAGCUUAAAUUAUUUAAAGGGACGAUAAGACCCUAUAAAACUUUAUAAAUAUUGAUUUUAAUUUUUUUGGAUUAUAUAAAUAUUUUAAUUUUAUUAUUUAUUUUAUUGGGGGUGAUAAAAAAAAUUAUUAAACUUUUUUUAAAAUUUUACAUUAUUUAAUGAAUAUUUGAAUUAAAAUUUUUAAUUAGAGGAAAAAGUUACUUUAGGGAUAACAGCGUAAUUAAUUUUUUAAGUUCAAAUUUAAAAAUUAGUUUGCGACCUCGAUGUUGAAUUAAGAUUAAUCUUAGGUGCAAAAUUUUAAGUAUUAGGUCUG
Molecule: ribosomal RNA, 1087 nt
Filed under: Aulacorthum muradachi
Lineage: Eukaryota; Metazoa; Arthropoda; Insecta; Hemiptera; Aphididae
Description: partial 16S large subunit ribosomal RNA
Source: RNAcentral